AGUGAACGCUGGCGGUAGGCCUAACAUAUGCAAGUCGAACGGCAGCACAGUAAGAGCUUGCUCUUACAGGUGGCGAGUGGCGGACGGGUGAGGAAUACAUCGGAAUCUACUUUUUCGUGGGGGAUAACGUAGGGAAACUUACGCUAAUACCGCAUACGACCUACGGGUGAAAGCAGGGGAUCUUCGGACCUUGCGCGAUUGAAUGAGCCGAUGUCGGAUUAGCUAGUUGGCGGGGUAAAGGCCCACCAAGGCGACGAUCCGUAGCUGGUCUGAGAGGAUGAUCAGCCACACUGGAACUGAGACACGGUCCAGACUCCUACGGGAGGCAGCAGUGGGGAAUAUUGGACAAUGGGCGCAAGCCUGAUCCAGCCAUACCGCGUGGGUGAAGAAGGCCUUCGGGUUGUAAAGCCCUUUUGUUGGGAAAGAAAAGCAGCAGGUUAAUACCCCGCUGUUCUGACGGUACCCAAAGAAUAAGCACCGGCUAACUUCGUG
Molecule: ribosomal RNA, 492 nt
Filed under: uncultured bacterium
Lineage: Bacteria
Description: partial 16S ribosomal RNA
Rfam family: Bacterial small subunit ribosomal RNA
Source: RNAcentral